UAGGGAAUCUUCCACAGUGGGCGAAAGCCUGAUGGAGCAACGCCGCGUGUGUGAUGAAGGGUUUCGGCUCGUAAAACACUGUUGUAAGAGAAGAAUGACAUUGAGAGUAACUGUUCAAUGUGUGACGGUAUCUUACCAGAAAGGAACGGCUAAAUACGUGCCAA
RNAcentral lists this ribosomal RNA (164 nucleotides) under uncultured bacterium. RNAcentral describes it as "partial 16S rRNA". It matches the Rfam family "Bacterial small subunit ribosomal RNA", at positions 355 to 511 of the family's 1533-position model. The record is from RNAcentral.